This 1446-nucleotide ribosomal RNA is filed under the name uncultured bacterium. RNAcentral's name for it is "16S ribosomal RNA". It matches the Rfam family "Bacterial small subunit ribosomal RNA". The record is from RNAcentral.
GUUUGAUCAUGGCUCAGAACGUACGCUGGCGGCACGCCUAACACAUGCAAGUCGAACGAAGUAGCAAUACUUAGUGGCAGACGGGUGAGUAACAUGUGGGUAUCUGCCCUUUGGCCUGGAAUAACACGAGGAAACUUGUGCUAAUACCGGAUAAGUCUUUACGGAGAAAGCUUUAUGCACCAUUGGAUGAGCCCGCACUUGAUUAGUUAGUUGGUAGGGUAAUGGCCUACCAAGACUGUGAUCAAUAGCUGAUUUGAGAGGAUGAUCAGCCACACUGGGACUGAGAUACGGCCCAAACUCCUACGGGAGGCAGCAGUGGGGAAUCUUGCACAAUGGAGGAAACUCUGAUGCAGCGAUGCCGCGUGAGUGAAGAAGGCCUUUGGGUUGUAAAGCUCUUUUGUAGGGGAAGAUAAUGACUGUACCCUAAGAAUAAGGUCCGGCUAACUUCGUGCCAGCAGCCGCGGUAAUACGAAGGGACCUAGCGUAGUUCGGAAUUACUGGGCGUAAAGCGCGCGUAGGCCGUUGAGUUAGUUAAUUGUGAAAUCCCAAAGCUUAACUUUGGAACUGCAAUUAAAACUGCUCGACUAGAGUUUGAUAGAGGAAAGCGGAAUACAUAGUGUAGAGGUGAAAUUCGUAGAUAUUAUGUAGAACACCAGUUGCGAAGGCGGCUUUCUGGAUCAACACUGACGCUGAGGCGCGAAAGUAUGGGUAGCAAAGAGGAUUAGAUACCCUCGUAGUCCAUACCAUAAACGAUGAUUGCUAGAUGUUGGAAAUUUAUUUUCAGUAUCGCAGCUAACGCAUUAAGCAAUCCGCCUGGGGAGUACGACCGCAAGGUUAAAACUCAAAGGAAUUGACGGGGACCCGCACAAGCGGUGGAUGAUGUGGUUUAAUUCGAUGCAACGCGAAAAACCUUACCCACCUUUGACAUGUACGGAAGUCGCUAGAGAUAGCUUCGUGCUCGAAAGAGAACCGUAACACAGGUGCUGCAUGGCUGUCGUCAGCUCGUGUCGUGAGAUGUUGGGUUAAGUCCCGCAACGAGCGCAACCCCUACUUUUAGUUGCCAUCAGGUUAUGCUGGGCACUCUAAUAGAACUGCCUGUGAUAAACAGGAGGAAGGUGGGGAUGACGUCAAGUCCUCAUGGCCCUUACGGGUUGGGCUACACACGUGCUACAAUGGUAAGUACAAUGAGAUGCCGAGCAGCGAUGCUUAGCCAAACUCAAAAACUUACCUCAGUUCGGAUUGCACUCUGCAACUCGAGUGCAUGAAGCUGGAAUCGCUAGUAAUCGUGGAUCAGCGUGCCACGGUGAAUACGUUCCCGGGUCUUGUACACACCGCCCGUCACACCAUGGAAAUUGGUUUUACCUUAAGGCAAGUUAUUAACCCUCGGGAAAUGCUUGACUACGGUUAAAUCAGUAACUGGGGUGAAGUCGUAACAAGGUAGCCGUA